UAGGGAAUCUUCCGCAAUGGACGCAAGUCUGACGGAGCAACGCCGCGUGAGUGAAGAAGGAUUUCGGUUCGUAAAACUCUGUUGUUAGAGAAGAACAGCGCAUAGAGUAACUGUUAUGCGUGUGACGGUAUCUAACCAGAAAGCCACGGCUAACUACGUGCCAGCAGCCGCGGUAAUACGCAGGUGGCAAGCGUUGUCCGGAUUUAUUGGGCGUAAAGCGAGCGCAGGCGGUCAAUUAAGUCUGAUGUGAAAGCCCCCGGCUCAACCGGGGAGGGUCAUUGGAAACUGGUUGACUUGAGUGCAGAAGAGGAGAGUGGAAUUCCAUGUGUAGCGGUGAAAUGCGUAGAUAUAUGGAGGAACACCAGUGGCGAAGGCGACUCUCUGGUCUGUAACUGACGCUGAGGCUCGAAAGCGUGGGUAGCAAACAGG
This 429-nucleotide ribosomal RNA is filed under the name Bacteroidota bacterium. Its description in RNAcentral is "Bacteroidetes bacterium partial 16S ribosomal RNA". It matches the Rfam family "Bacterial small subunit ribosomal RNA", at positions 355 to 776 of the family's 1533-position model. The record is from RNAcentral. Lineage: Bacteria; Pseudomonadati; Bacteroidota.